RNAcentral lists this ribosomal RNA (494 nucleotides) under uncultured bacterium. RNAcentral's name for it is "partial 16S ribosomal RNA". It matches the Rfam family "Bacterial small subunit ribosomal RNA", at positions 28 to 507 of the family's 1533-position model. The record is from RNAcentral.
GACGAACGCUGGCGGCGUGCUUAACACAUGCAAGUCGAACGGAAAGGCCUGCUUUCCCUUGUGGAUUGCGGGUACUCGAGUGGCGAACGGGUGAGUAACACGUGAGUGAUCUGCCCCCAACUUGGGUAUAAGCCUGGGAAACUGGGUCUAAUUCCCGAUAGGACUGCAGGGUGGUGCCUGUGGAGGAAAACGAUUUUCUAGUGGUUGGGGAUGAGCUCGCGGCCUAUCAGCUUGUUGGUGGGGUAAUGGCCUACCAAGGCGGCGACGGGUAGCCGGCCUGAGAGGGUGGACGGCCACAUUGGGACUGAGAUACGGCCCAGACUCCUACGGGAGGCAGCAGUGGGGAAUAUUGCACAAUGGGCGGAAGCCUGAUGCAGCGACGCCGCGUGGGGGAUGACGGCCUUCGGGUUGUAAACUCCUUUCGACCGCGAGGAAGCCACCUGGUUGGAAGGGUGGUGACGGUAGUGGUAGAAGAAGCACCGGCUAACUACGUG